CAAGCCAUUCAUUUGCUGCAUAAGCAUCUUAAGUUUUGAGCUUGUGAUUAAGAGACGGGGUUUUGUUGAAAUGUUGAUGAAAUGUAAUGUUUCCAAAUGGAAAUAUCCCAAAAUUCAGCAACCAGGUGGGAAGUUGCAUAUAAUAUAACUCUGUUUUCUUUUGUUUUCUUCAUUGCUUUUGGUGCUAUGCUAUGUUAUCUUAAACUUCUGUUUUUGUUUUCAUUAUAGUAGCGAUAUUAACUAGUGUAUAUGUUCCAGCAGUAUAUCUGGAAGCGAUUGUUUGUUAGAAUGGGUGGAAUUGGAAAGCUAACACAUAGAUGCACCUUGGUCACGAUUCUGCAUAUCAAGUUUUGCAAUGCAUCGAAAAUCUGCCAACCUGGAAUUCUGUUGGCUUCACAUUGGACAGAAAUUUACUACCGGAUGGAGCCCCGAAGCCUAGUUAGAAAAUAGAUAAAACAUGAAAGGUUCAGCAAGAGAACCAAAAGUGACAAAAUGAUAGCACUGUGAAGAGCACAAAACAACAUAAUUAAGAAAAAUUCUUAAGAAACUCCACUACUUCUUUCUCCAAUUGGACUUGGAUAGUUGCAAUGUUAUACGACAUUGUAACUUUGUAUUUUCUUUUUAUUUUAUUGGAAUUGUCUAAAAAAUUUACUUUUGCAUAUGUUUCUAAUAAUAUAUAUUGAAUUUUGUUUUAA
Long non-coding RNA from Cryptomeria japonica (Japanese cedar), 695 nucleotides. RefSeq lists it as uncharacterized. The record is from RefSeq and is a predicted model, not a curated record. The transcript is spliced from 2 exons. NCBI's taxonomy places the organism in Eukaryota, Viridiplantae, Streptophyta, Pinopsida, Cupressales, Cupressaceae.